UCAGGAUGAACGCUAGCGGCAGGCUUAACACAUGCAAGUCGAGGGGCAUCGGGAGUAGCAAUACUUGCCGGCGACCGGCGCAAGGGUGCGUAACGCGUGAGCAACAUGCCCGUAUCAGGGGGGAUAAUCCAUGGAAACGUGGUCUAAUACCCCAUAGUAAUUAUGUAAGGCAUCUUAUAUAAUUUAAAGCUUUGGUGGAUACGGAUUGGCUCGCGUGACAUUAGCUAGAUGGUAAGGUAACGGCUUACCAUGGCUACGAUGUCUAGGGGGUUCUGAGAGGAAGGUCCCCCACACUGGAACUGAGACACGGUCCAGACUCCUACGGGAGGCAGCAGUGAGGAAUAUUGGACAAUGGGAUGGAAAUCUGAUCCAGCCAUGCCGCGUGCAAGGAAGACGGCCCUAUGGGUUGUAAACUGCUUUUGUAUGGGAGCAAUAAGGGCUACGUGUAGUCCGAUGAGAGUACCAUACGAAUAAGCACCGGCUAACUCCGUGCCAGCCGCCGC
This 503-nucleotide ribosomal RNA is filed under the name uncultured bacterium. Its description in RNAcentral is "bacterial SSU rRNA". It matches the Rfam family "Bacterial small subunit ribosomal RNA", at positions 24 to 518 of the family's 1533-position model. The record is from RNAcentral.